Molecule: ribosomal RNA, 1447 nt
Filed under: uncultured organism
Description: 16S ribosomal RNA
Rfam family: Bacterial small subunit ribosomal RNA
Source: RNAcentral
CUAGCUACAGGCUUAACACAUGCAAGUCGAGGGGCAUCAGGAAGAAAGCUUGCUUUCUUUGCUGGCGACCGGCGCACGGGUGAGUAACACGUAUCCAACCUGCCCUUUACUCGGGGAUAGCCUUUCGAAAGAAAGAUUAAUACCCGAUAGCAUAAUGAUUCCGCAUGGUUUCAUUAUUAAAGGAUUCCGGUAGAGGAUGGGGAUGCGUUCCAUUAGGUUGUUGGUGAGGUAACGGCUCACCAAGCCUUCGAUGGAUAGGGGUUCUGAGAGGAAGGUCCCCCACAUUGGAACUGAGACACGGUCCAAACUCCUACGGGAGGCAGCAGUGAGGAAUAUUGGUCAAUGGGCGCUAGCCUGAACCAGCCAAGUAGCGUGAAGGAUGAAGGCUCUAUGGGUCGUAAACUUCUUUUAUAUAAGAAUAAAGUGCAGUAUGUAUACUGUUUUGUAUGUAUUAUAUGAAUAAGGAUCGGCUAACUCCGUGCCAGCAGCCGCGGUAAUACGGAGGAUCCGAGCGUUAUCCGGAUUUAUUGGGUUUAAAGGGAGCGUAGGUGGACUGGUAAGUCAGUUGUGAAAGUUUGCGGCUCAACCGUAAAAUUGCAGUUGAUACUGUCAGUCUUGAGUACAGUAGAGGUGGGCGGAAUUCGUGGUGUAGCGGUGAAAUGCUUAGAUAUCACGAAGAACUCCGAUUGCGAAGGCAGCUCACUGGACUGCAACUGACACUGAUGCUCGAAAGUGUGGGUAUCAAACAGGAUUAGAUACCCUGGUAGUCCACACAGUAAACGAUGAAUACUCGCUGUUUGCGAUAUACAGUAAGCGGCCAAGCGAAAGCAUUAAGUAUUCCACCUGGGGAGUACGCCGGCAACGGUGAAACUCAAAGGAAUUGACGGGGGCCCGCACAAGCGGAGGAACAUGUGGUUUAAUUCGAUGAUACGCGAGGAACCUUACCCGGGCUUAAAUUGCAGUGGAAUGAUGUGGAAACAUGUCAGUGAGCAAUCACCGCUGUGAAGGUGCUGCAUGGUUGUCGUCAGCUCGUGCCGUGAGGUGUCGGCUUAAGUGCCAUAACGAGCGCAACCCUUAUCUUUAGUUACUAACAGGUUAUGCUGAGGACUCUAGAGAGACUGCCGUCGUAAGAUGUGAGGAAGGUGGGGAUGACGUCAAAUCAGCACGGCCCUUACGUCCGGGGCUACACACGUGUUACAAUGGGGGGUACAGAAGGCCGCUACCUGGUGACAGGAUGCCAAUCCCAAAAACCUCUCUCAGUUCGGAUCGAAGUCUGCAACCCGACUUCGUGAAGCUGGAUUCGCUAGUAAUCGCGCAUCAGCCAUGGCGCGGUGAAUACGUUCCCGGGCCUUGUACACACCGCCCGUCAAGCCAUGAAAGCCAGGGGUACCUGAAGUACGUAACCGCAAGGAGCGUCCUAGGGUAAAACUGGUAAUUGGGGCUAAGU